This 253-nucleotide ribosomal RNA is filed under the name uncultured bacterium. Its description in RNAcentral is "partial 16S ribosomal RNA". It matches the Rfam family "Bacterial small subunit ribosomal RNA", at positions 524 to 776 of the family's 1533-position model. The record is from RNAcentral.
UACGAAGGGGGCCAGCGUUGCUCGGAAUCACUGGGCGUAAAGCGCACGUAGGCGGAUCCUUAAGUCGGGGGUGAAAUCCUGGAGCUCAACUCCAGAACUGCCUUCGAUACUGAGGAUCUCGAGUCCGGGAGAGGUGAGUGGAACUGCGAGUGUAGAGGUGAAAUUCGUAGAUAUUCGCAAGAACACCAGUGGCGAAGGCGGCUCACUGGCCCGGUACUGACGCUGAGGUGCGAAAGCGUGGGGAGCAAACAGG